AGAGGGGGCAAGCGUUGCUCGGAAUUACUGGGCGUAAAGGGCGCGUAGGCGGGAUGGCAAGUCGGUCGUGAAAUCCCUCGGCUCAACCGAGGAACGUCGAUCGAUACUGCUGUUCUUGAGGAUUGCAGAGGAGACUGGAAUUCCCGGUGUAGCGGUGAAAUGUGUAGAGAUCGGGAGGAACACCGGUGGCGAAGGCGGGUCUCUGGGCAAUUCCUGACGCUGAGGCGCGAAAGCGUGGGGAGCAAACGGGAUUAGAUACCCCGGUAGUCCACGCUGUAAACGAUGAGCACUAGGUGUGGGGGGGUUCAGUCCCUUCCGUGCCGCAGCUAACGCAUUAAGUGCUCCGCCUGGGGAGUACGGCCGCAAGGUUG
Molecule: ribosomal RNA, 371 nt
Filed under: uncultured bacterium
Lineage: Bacteria
Description: bacterial SSU rRNA
Rfam family: Bacterial small subunit ribosomal RNA
Source: RNAcentral